CCGGCGCACGGGUGAGUAACACGUAUGCAACCUGGCCGUCACAGGUGGAUAACCGGAAGAAAUUCCGACUAAUACAGCAUAACACUCCUGAGGGACAUCUUUCGGGAGUCAAAGGAGGCAACUCCGGUGACGGAUGGGCAUGCGGCGCAUUAGGUAGUUGGUAGGGUAACGGCCUACCAAGCCGACGAUGCGUAGGGGUUCUGAGAGGAAGGUCCCCCACACUGGUACUGAGACACGGACCAGACUCCUACGGAAGGCAGCAG
This 263-nucleotide ribosomal RNA is filed under the name uncultured bacterium. RNAcentral's name for it is "partial 16S ribosomal RNA". It matches the Rfam family "Bacterial small subunit ribosomal RNA", at positions 95 to 354 of the family's 1533-position model. The record is from RNAcentral.